Long non-coding RNA from Gallus gallus (chicken), 386 nucleotides. Lineage: Eukaryota; Metazoa; Chordata; Aves; Galliformes; Phasianidae. The record is from Ensembl.
CUCAGUUAUGCCACAGGGAAGCAACCAGCAUAGAGGUGAAGACAACAUUCUGGCACAGCUUUUCAUCAACAUCUCAGGGUACAAACAAGGUGAAUAGUUUAGUGGAAAUUACAAACGAAAAUCAAAGGUCUAAGUUGCUCUGCUGUUAAACCUAGGGCAGCUGGUAGCAAUUCUAUUCAACAUGAACACUGAACAGGAACAGGCAGAUGUGAAGGAGUGUGAGCUGUUCUGGCCACGCUGACACACCUUUGGAAUGUUCCAUUUCCCAUAAGUCAGAAGAAGCCAGUAAGAGUUGCCAAUUGGUCCCUUUCUUCCACUGCAUUGAGAUGAUUAUAUGUAAACGUUUGCAAAUUAAAGCUGCAAAAUGUUCUUAAACCACUCACUGG